This 511-nucleotide ribosomal RNA is filed under the name Pardosa palustris. RNAcentral describes it as "SSU rRNA". It matches the Rfam family "Eukaryotic small subunit ribosomal RNA", at positions 397 to 921 of the family's 1831-position model. The record is from RNAcentral. Lineage: Eukaryota; Metazoa; Arthropoda; Arachnida; Araneae; Lycosidae.
CCUGAGAAACGGCUACCACAUCCAAGGAAGGCAGCAGGCGCGCAAAUUACCCACUCCCAGAACGGGGAGGUAGUGACGAAAAAUAACGAUACGGGACUCUUUUGAGACCCCGUAAUUGGAAUGAGUACACUCUAAAUCCUUUAACGAGGAUCUAUUCGAGGGCAAGUCUGGUGCCAGCCGCCGCGGUAAUUCCAGCUCGAAUAGCGWAUAUWAAAGUUGUUGCGGUUAAAAAGCUCGWAGUUGGAUCUSAGUUCCGGACGGGUGGUCUVCCAAACGGUGGUUACUGCCCGUUCUGAACAGCCCGCCGGUUUCUCUUGAUGAUCUUCACCGGUUGUCUCGGGUGACCGGCAAGUUUACUUUGAAAAAAUUAGAGUGCUCAAAGCAGGCGYGAGGCCUGAAUAAUGGUGCAUGGAAUAAUGRAAUAGGACCUCGGUUCUAUUUUGUUGGUUUUCGGAACCCGAGGUAAUGAUUAARAGGGACAGACGGGGGCAUUCGUAUUGCGACGCUARAG